CCUACGGGAGACAGCAGUGAGGAAUAUUGGUCAAUGGGCGCGAGCCUGAACCAGCCAAGUAGCGUGAAGGAUGACUGCCCUACGGGUUGUAAACUUCUUUUAUAAAGGAAUAAAGUGAGGCACGUGUGCCUUUUUGUAUGUACUUUAUGAAUAAGGAUCGGCUAACUCCGUGACAGCAGCCGCGGUAAUACGGAGGAUCCGAGCGUUAUCCGGAUUUAUUGGGUUUAAAGGGAGCGUAGAUGGGUUGUUAAGUCAGUUGUGAAAGUUUGCGGCUCAACCGUAAAAUUGAAAUGGAUACUGGCAGCCUUGAGUACAGUUGAGGUAGACGUAAGUCGUGUUGUAGCGUUGAA
This 350-nucleotide ribosomal RNA is filed under the name uncultured bacterium. Its description in RNAcentral is "partial 16S ribosomal RNA". It matches the Rfam family "Bacterial small subunit ribosomal RNA", at positions 338 to 685 of the family's 1533-position model. The record is from RNAcentral.